This is a small nucleolar RNA of Myotis lucifugus (little brown bat), 397 nucleotides long. Ensembl annotates it as small Cajal body-specific RNA 2. Its record names the gene SCARNA2. The record is from Ensembl. NCBI's taxonomy places the organism in Eukaryota, Metazoa, Chordata, Mammalia, Chiroptera, Vespertilionidae.
CCUCACGGGAGGGAGCGCGGCCUGGGGUGCGGGUGCUGUGAGUGGUACUGCGGUGUCGCGUGGAUGGCGCGUGCGGGCCGAGUGUGUGUGUGGGUGGAUGUGAGCGUGCGUGGGGCGUGCAAGGCGAGUGCGUGACGCCCCCUACGGCCCUCCCCCCGUCUACACCUUGAUCUUAUUUGAUCGGGUUGUGACCCCAGCCCGCCGGGCCGGCCCGAGAUGAAAAGCUCCCCUCCUGCGAAGCCCGCUCCGGGCGCUGUGCAGCGAGGCCCUUGGGUGGCGGCGGCGCCGCGGUCCCGGAGCCGAUCUGCGGGGCCCGGCGCUCAGAAGUGAUGAAUUGAUCAGAUAGACGAGGCCGGGCUUGUCCCGGCCGCUGAUUAUCGAGGCGAUUCUGAUCUGA